Oreochromis niloticus (Nile tilapia) is the source of this 145-nucleotide long non-coding RNA. RefSeq lists it as uncharacterized. NCBI's taxonomy places the organism in Eukaryota, Metazoa, Chordata, Actinopteri, Cichliformes, Cichlidae. The record is from RefSeq and is a predicted model, not a curated record. The transcript is spliced from 2 exons.
CUCAGAGGUUCCCAGUGGUCAGUCUGCCCAGCAGCAUCAAACACACCUGGACUCCAUAUUUAUGCUGCUGGAGGACAACAUCAUCACUUUUGUGAAGAAUGAGCUGAAGAAGAUCCAGAUGGUUCUGAGUCCAGAUUACCCACAA